UGGGGAAUAUUGCACAAUGGGGGAAACCCUGAUGCAGCGACGCCGCGUGAGCGAAGAAGGCCUUCGGGUCGUAAAGCUCUUUUAUGAGGGAAGAUAAUGACGGUACCUCAAGAAAAAGCCCCGGCUAACUACGUGCCAGCAGCCGCGGUAAUACGUAGGGGGCUAGCGUUGUCCGGAAUCACUGGGCGUAAAGGGUUCGCAGGCGGAAUAACAAGUCAGAUGUGAAAGGCAUGGGCUCAACCCAUGUAAGCAUUUGAAACUGUAAUUCUUGAGAAGUGGAGAGGUAAGUGGAAUUCCUAGUGUAGCGGUGAAAUGCGUAGAUAUUAGGAGGAAUACCGGUGGCGAGGGCGACUUUCUGGACUUUUACUGACGCUCAGGUACGAAAGCGUGGGGAGCAAACAGG
RNAcentral lists this ribosomal RNA (403 nucleotides) under Verrucomicrobiota bacterium. RNAcentral describes it as "Verrucomicrobia bacterium partial 16S ribosomal RNA". It matches the Rfam family "Bacterial small subunit ribosomal RNA", at positions 355 to 776 of the family's 1533-position model. The record is from RNAcentral. Lineage: Bacteria; Pseudomonadati; Verrucomicrobiota.